Molecule: non-coding RNA, 942 nt
Organism: Cinara cedri
Lineage: Eukaryota; Metazoa; Arthropoda; Insecta; Hemiptera; Aphididae
Source: the annotation of a GenBank genome assembly
CUUAAGUACGUGCGUUACAUACAAAAAUGUAUACUUAUAUUUUUCCUAUGUGAAACAGAACAGGCUAAAAUUGUAUUAACACAUCCUAUGUGAUGAAACUGCAGCAUUCAAAAUAUUGAUGGUGUCGUAAAAGUUUCACUGAACCGAACAAAAAACAAAAACUUUUCGUGUUCAACACAUGACUGCCCGAUUUUCAACUGUGUUUCGAUAUGCAUGUAUAGCAGCUAUGUAAUAUCACAUUAAGUAGUAAGUACGGAUACUUAUUAUGCAGUCGUAUGUAUAACGAUGAGGAUAAUAAUAUAGAUCGAAUAAUUCGGAUAAAACUUAAUGGCCGUACGAAAUCGUGAUUUGCAUAAAUUAAACGCUCGCGAAUAAUCGUAUUUGCAGUCCGUGUUUAUAUAGGUGCGCGCGUGUUUAUAAGGUCACUCCGCGGAAAACGACUCCGAUCAUCGUUGCAUUAAAAAUAACAUUUCGAUCGCUCGAUUGUAUUUGCAAAAACUCCGGCCGAACGACUCGAAAUAAAUUCGACUUCCGUCAUACGAACUGUUGCGGCCGAUGCUAGUGUGGUAGUACGGCAAUAUAAUAUUUUUAUCAUAAUUUUGAAGCUAUAUAAUAUACAAUAUUAUAUCCACCCUAUAUUGAAUAUAGAGUGGAUCAAAAAAAAAUUUUUUUUUCGGGCUUAUCUUCAUAUUUUAUUUAUACAGGUGUUCCAAUGUCCAAUACCAUCAAAAUUUAUAUCCCGCCCCCCCCCCCAAAAAAAAAAAGUGAUCGCGUAAGGGAACCGUAUUUUAUAGGUGAAUAACGAAAUUUUGUUAUGUAUUUUAUUUUUUUUAACGGUUUAAAUUAUUGCUGAACAAAAAAUGGCACGAUAGCAGAUCAUCUGCGAAUAUAACGAGGAAGAAAAGAGAUCUUAUAAUUGAUAAGGAGAAAAUCAAUAUCGAC